AAGUCGAGCGAGAAAGGGAACUUCGGUUCCUGAGUAAAGCGGCGGACGGGUGAGUAACACGUGGGUAAUCUACCCUUGGGUGGGGAAUAACUCAGGGAAACCUGGGCUAAUUCCGCAUGACACUUUCGAUACACACGUAUUGAGAAUCAAAGCUGGGGACCCUUCGGGGCCUGGCGCCUGAGGAGGAGCCCGCGGCCAAUUAGCUUGAUGGUGAGGUAAUGGCUCACCAUGGCUACGAUUGGUAGCCGGCCUGAGAGGGCGGACGGUCACACUGGGACUGAGACACGGCCCAGACUCCUACGGGAGGCAGCAGUGGGGAAUUUUUGUCAAUGGGGGAAACCCUGAACAAGCAACGCCGCGUGAAGGACGAAGACCUUCGGGUUGUAAACUUCUGUCGGAGGGGACGAAAGCUUUCGUGGUCAAUACCCAUGAUUGUUGACGGUACCCUAUGAGGAAGCCCCGGCUAACUCCGUGCCAGCAGCCGCGGUAAUACGGGGGGCAAGCGUUGUUCGGAAUUACUGGGCGUAAAGGGCGCGUAGGCGGGCAGGAAAGUCUCUCGUGAAAUCCCACGGCUCAACCGUGGAACUGCGGGAGAUACUACUUGUCUUGAGUUCG
RNAcentral lists this ribosomal RNA (615 nucleotides) under uncultured bacterium. RNAcentral's name for it is "bacterial SSU rRNA". It matches the Rfam family "Bacterial small subunit ribosomal RNA", at positions 59 to 650 of the family's 1533-position model. The record is from RNAcentral.